Molecule: ribosomal RNA, 253 nt
Filed under: uncultured bacterium
Lineage: Bacteria
Description: partial 16S ribosomal RNA
Rfam family: Bacterial small subunit ribosomal RNA
Source: RNAcentral
UACGAAGGGGGCUAGCGUUGCUCGGAAUCACUGGGCGUAAAGGGUGCGUAGGCGGGUCUUUAAGUCAGGGGUGAAAUCCUGGAGCUCAACUCCAGAACUGCCUUUGAUACUGAAGAUCUUGAGUUCGGGAGAGGUGAGUGGAACUGCGAGUGUAGAGGUGAAAUUCGUAGAUAUUCGCAAGAACACCAGUGGCGAAGGCGGCUCACUGGACCGGAACUGACGCUGAGGCGCGAAAGCGUGGGGAGCAAACGGG